This is a long non-coding RNA of Zophobas morio, 430 nucleotides long. RefSeq lists it as uncharacterized. NCBI's taxonomy places the organism in Eukaryota, Metazoa, Arthropoda, Insecta, Coleoptera, Tenebrionidae. The transcript has 3 exons. The record is from RefSeq and is a predicted model, not a curated record.
GCUCAACGCAUCGGUAAUCCACCAUUUUGUUCAGAGUGUGGUAGUCUGUUGCCUUUGCCCGAUGGCCAAGAUUUUAUAAAAUGCGGGCUGUGUUUUAAUUCCGUAAAAGCUUCAGGUUUUAACAUAUUCCCAUUUAUGACAGUUUCUUGCAUUAUAUCAUGAAAGUAUACGAACAAAGUAAAAAUAAAACGCGGAGUAGAGAAGACGCAUUUUCUUCUCGUUCACUUCUAUUGUCACAAGUUCAAUAUACAGAAAAAGCUGCGAAGAUUGAGGAGAAGUGUCCCAAGUGUGGACAUCCUGAAAUGUCCUUUCACACAAUGCAACUGCGUUCAGCUGAUGAAGGACAAACUGUUUUCUUUUCGUGUCUCAAAUGCGGAUAUAACUAUUCAGUGAACUCAUGAAUGUUAAGUAAAUAUUUUACUGAAUCCAA